CAGGAGUAGCUGUCCGGGUCUCUGGCUAGCUCCUGUCCCAACUUCUUUUUCUUCCCUCGACGGUCGGGAGGGAUCACUGGGUGCUACACCGCUGGGGCGUCCCAGGCAGGAGAGACUUCGCUCUCAGAAGCGCCCCCGUGUCAUCCACAACUCCCACGAAAGGAGCUUCCCAAGAGGAGUUUGUUUUACCCGGAAUGGGCUGCAGGAAUUAAUUGCUUACAGAGAGUAAACUUUUGCCCGUUGUUUUUUUGUUUUUUGUGCUUUUUUUAACCAAAGCUUGCAUUUGUGCUCCGCGUAGUUUCUAUUGCAACAGAGCGCUACUCUGCCUUUUCAACUGUGAGACAGAGGAUUGCUGAGGAUUUCUGCCCUCUGGGGCUUCGCGAAUAUCUAUGGCUUCGGACCUGCUAGCGGAAAACGCAAAGUUGCCCAGCUUGGAGAUGGCACCAGGUUCCUUUGCUCUGGCGCUGGAUGCUCCGCUCCGCCACCCACCGCCGCCGUCUCCAUCGAGAAUCUCCUCAAAAUCAAGGGAGUUCUUGACUGUCCCUCUCCAAAUUGGAAGGCGGUUGACUUUGCCGGGAACCGAGUUCCUGAGCGGCAAACGUGGAGUCGCAGAGCGCAGAAGUGAAGAUUUAAUACAAAAGAUGAAACUUGUAGGAUGACCUCUAGCAGCGCUACUCACAGCUCUGAAAUCGAUCCAGAGCAUUCCACAGUGAGCGUUGCGGCUCCCAGGGGCUCCGGACCGGUAACUUCAGGCGCAAGUCUGAAUUUCAGGGAUGAACCUGCUUUGGAUUCUGUUUGAGCCGACUCAGUGCAGAGGCAGUGACAGGGGCUGUGGGUUUAGGGGUGAUGGAUCCAUGAAGGCUGCCACUUGGAGCGAGCAGACAGUUGGCGAUACCCUCCCACUAACUUGCUCCGCUGCUCCGGGCUGUUCACAGACAGACCCACGCGUAAGGAUUUAGAGUGUGUAUGUCCAACGCCCAGACUUAACUUCUGGUGCAAUUAAGGGAAGAGCUUGAAGCUAACCCGCGCAGCUUGCCUGAAGAAGUGAAUAAUGAAAUCGGUGAUGAGGUGCUAAGGAAUAAAAAGAGGCAUUUUGUUUGCGUGUGUAUUAGUUUGCCAGGAUUGAGUUUUUAGGUUUGAUGUCCUAAAAUGUAUCUUCGACAGUGACUCUUUUGCAGCCUUUCAAGAGGAGGAUGUUCGGCAGUAUUUUGGAACCUGGUAUGAAUCUAUACAUUGUCUGCGUGCCGCAAUAUUUGAUGCCUCUUCGAGUUCUAAUUCUUAUUCCUAAUUAAUAAAUGACUGUUCCUGAUAAUGAAGUGGGAAUAAGAAUUAUAAUAAACUAUUUCCAACAAAAGGCCAUCUUUAACUUAUGAUUUCUGAUUGUAUAAGCCUAUCAAUUACCAAUAAAAUAUUCUGCAGACUAUUAGGCAUGAAUUGCAGAGCUGUAAUGAAGAGACUCACUUGGUUCAAGAAAAUUCAGAAUUUAGAGCGACUCCUCUCCAAAAAGGUUGUGACUUCAAAUUCCUUUCUUGGUUGCUGUUGGUAUGCAGGCCACUGUCUGCAACUGAAGUUUCUGUUUAAAGUAAACAUAGGUUAUUUACAUAUUCAUUAACUUUAAUACGUGAAGGGUGCCUUACAGUGGUAGGAAAUGUUGUGGAAAGUCUUGUACCAGCCAUGGCGAAGUCUUUUUACUUGCUUUGAGUUUUUGAUGUAUGCGAUGUGUAUGCAGUAGUGGUAAUCCAUAGCAUAAUAUUCUUGACAUUUAAGCACCCUCAAAAAAAAUAAUAAAAACCUGUAGAUUUAUGGAUCCUGUUCAAAAAAUGGAAGAGGAUAAGGAUCACCCUUUUCCCCCUCGCCUUUUACAUUUUGCUUUUAUGGGGGAAAUUAUUUAACAAACAAGGAGAGCAAACCUCAGGAUCAGAGGAUGUACCCCAUUCCCGCUACCCUUAGGUCUAUCUAUGGAAUUGAAAAGAAACUAUUGAGACUCAAAGAUACUGUCAGAUCCAAGAAUCUGAUUUCACCACCAAAUUAAAAUAACUACAGCAUUAUUCCAGUGUUGUCUAUGUAUUUAUGUUUUCUGAUAAUUGAAUUUGAAAUAUAUGAUAUCUCUUCCAAUGGAAACAUCUUGAUCCUUUUCCCUCCUUAAGAUCAUUUCUCUACAAACUGCCAUUUUCAGAACACCUUUUACUUCUCUAGAGCAUAGCAUUCAGUCUAUUGGUGUACUGUCUUUUCAUAGAUAAAAGCUAUUCUUUCUUUACUGGUAUGCCUUUGCUACUGUACUGUGAGCUCUGAGAGCACGGAUCUUGUCAUUUACAUUGUUGUUCCCCAGAAUCUAUACAGAAUCUAGUACACAAUAAAAUAGAUGUAUAUGAUGAUGAUGAUGAUGAUGAAAGCGACCAUGUAUUGAGUAAUGACUUAAUGACUAUGUAAUGUGAUUUAUGUACAUUAUAUCAGUUGAUCCUGUUUACAACCUGCUUACCUAAAUUUUAUGUCCUCAAAUUACAGGGAGAUUGAGGCUUAUGCAAAUUUACCUAAGGUGACAAAUCUGUUUUGUCACAAUUAAGUAUGGAACCUACACAGUAUCUUUCUGACUCUGAAGCCUGCACUAUUCAUCAUUUUGCUCUGUUCAAAUAGCCAGGUCCCCACAUUUUCAAUUAUUCAAGGCUAAAAGGAAUUUAUAUGUUGUUAAUGCUAAAAAGAGGCAAAUUUAAAAAUGAGUUCCUUACCUCUCAUGCAAUCGAGUCAAUAUCUAUUUGAGUAUCAAAACACAGGACCAGUUUACUUCUCUUAUUGGGUUAAAAUAGGAGAGUGUCUUCUUGGCAUUAUUUUCAUGGGAAUGCCAAAUGCUGAGUUAUGGGUUUCCUUUCAGAGAGGGGAGUCAGGCCAUUGGGAAUUUUAUGGAUAUAGAAAACUUUUUAUUGUUUACUUCCAUGUUGAUACUCUUAUGUAAAACAGAGGAGGCUAUUAUAAAAUCUCAGUUGUGUAAGAUGAAUAAAUUCUAGAGAUCUAUUGUACAAUAAUGUGCCUAUAAUUAACCAUACUGUAUUAUACACUUAAAAAUGUAUUAAGAGGACAGAUCUCAUGUUGGCUAAUUGCCACAAUUUUAAAACUAAUAAAAAUAAAAGCCUCAGAACACAGACAACACUGAAUACAGAAUGACAUAGGAACAUGCCAUAGAAAUGUGUUAUAGUUGUCAAUUUCAACAGCUCAUAUUAUAAAACAUCUUUUAUACCUUGGAUCAUUACAGUACAAAUACAAAAUAUCCAUAUCAUGGAAGAUUAAGCUGCUAUGUAAAAUAAUGAGGAAAUUCUCCUUAAUUGGUAUAAAAAGGUCUCCAUGAUAUUUUUAGGUGAAAAUUGCAAGGUGAAGCAAGGUGUUGUCUCCAAAAAUUAAUAAAAUUGGUUGGGGUCAUGGUGUAAGUGGGCAGAUGGUAUCAAAGGUAGAGGUUAGACUUUUUAUGUUCUUUUGAUUUUGGAACCGUGUGUAAGUUUUACCUUAUAAAAUAAAAGAGUGCCUUUGAGGGGUUGCAUGGAAAGAAAAGUAUAACAGAUGUAUCUCCGCCUUUUACUUAAAAAAGAUGUUUGUUGCUGUUGUUGUUGUUGUUUUUAAAAAGGGUAGGUGAAAGUUGUGAAAUAACCUGGCCUGCAAUACAUUUGCUCAUUUACUCCUGCCAGGGAGAGACCUUGAGGGAAAGAAGCAAAAAGGGGUUUCUUAGUUCAGACUACUGUAACAAAAUACCACCGCAUGGGUAGCUUAAAUAGUAGGAAUGUAUUUCUCACAGUUCUGGAGUUCUGUGAGAAACAUUUUUCACAGUUCUUGGAAGGCCAAGAUUAAGAUGCUAGCCAAUUUGGUUCUUGGUGAUGGCUCUUUUCCUAGCCUGCAUACAGCUGCCUUCUAACUAUGUCCUCACAUGGCCUUUUCUCAGUGUGUGUUGGGGGGAAGAGAGAAAAAGAAACAGAGACAUUUCAGCCACAGUUUAUAUAGCAACUAAUCCUAUCAUGAAGGUCCCACUCACAUGACCUGUCUAACCCUAAUUACCUCCCAAAGGUCUCAUCUCUACACACCACCACAUUAGAUGUUAGAGCUUCAGCACAUGAAUUUGGGGUGGGAAGAAGGUACAACGUUUAGUCCAUAACAAGUGAGCAGGUCUAAUCUCCUUGUCAAUUCUACCUCCCCUGGGUAAAUAGACUAAUGGUAUUUGCUAGAAGGAAGAGGGUUGUCUUUGGGCCCUUAGUAGGAUAUCUGACUAAGGAUUACCUAUAAUAGAUAGAACCAGAAUUUAUAAGGGAUGGCUUCCUGGAAAAUGGCAUAUAGUGUUUGCAGUGCUGGGGUAUAAAAUGGAGAUGUUUUAUAAUUGAAGCAUUACCAACUGUAUGAGGAACCAUGCACGCCUCACUUGGAGGCUUUAUGUAUUCUGGGCUAAAGAGAUGUGGCUUUCACAGGAAAGAAAGACCUGCAGAGCCAUUAUUUUGAAACUUUUGAUAAGCCUUUUGUUUGUACCUUUGAAAUUAUUUAGUUUAGGCUAAUACUGCUUAUGAUCUCUGAUUCAUGUUAGUCUGAUUUGAGAAAUUCACUCUUAAGAAAUAGCGUGAAAAAUGGCUUAAUUCAAAAAGUAAGCAACUUAAAUGACACCUUUUAGGUACCAGAAAUACUCUAGGAGAACUAGAUUUAUUUAUUCACUUAAUCCUAACAACAAAUCUAAUAAUAAUUAUCUUCAUUGUAUAGAUGAAGAAACAGUCACAGAAAAGUCAAAAAGCCUUGCCAAGGUCACAUAGCUGCUUAAGUGGUACAGUCAGGGUUUAAACCGUGGCUGUCUAACAUUAGAUCACAGCUUUUUAACCUACACCAGAAGGUUCUAUAUUAGCUAUAAGGUCUGUUAGAACAGGGACUUGGCUUUACUGUUGAUUACAGGCUCAACAGGCCAAAAACGGUACAUGGAUCCUGACUGGAUAAAAACCAUGGACAGUAGCGAGACAACUUAGUAUACCUGUUUGCCACACACUGUGCUAAUUGCGUUAUGUAUGUUACCUUGUUGAAUUUUUUUUUUUUUUUUUUGGGACAUAGUCUCACUGUGUCACCCAGGCUGGAGUGUAGUGGUGUGAUCUCCACUCACUGCAACCUUUGCCUCCCGGGUUCAAGUGAUUCUCCUGCUUCAGCCUCCCAAGUAGCUGGGAUUACAGGCACCCACCACCACACCCAGCUAAUUUUUGUAUUUUUUGGUAGGGAUGGGGUUUCACCAUGUUGACCAGGCUGAUCUCGAACUCCUGACCAUGUGAUCCACAUGCCUUGGCCUCCCAAAGUGCUGGGAUUACGGACAUGAGCCACCAAACCCAGCCUUUUAUUGAAUUUUUAAAACAACUCCAUGGCUUAGGCAAUGUUAUUAUUACUCUGCUAAUGAUCAACAUGAAGUUAAUUGUUUCCUCAAAGUCUCGCAGUGGUUCAGUACAGAAACAGAAUCUCAACUCAGUACCAUUAUGCCACAUUGCUUUUAACCUAAACUAUUAUUUUAUACAAUAAUAUUAUGUUGUAAUUAAGUCUCUUGCUUACAAUUCUGUCAUUAUUCUAGUGUUCAAAACACAUGCUACAAUGAAAUAAACAGAUCAAACAUAGAGUCUGAAUAAAUAUCUUUCAAAGCAGUGGAGUGUUUUGCUGAAGAAACUACUCAAGUGUCAGUGAUUUACCACUUGUCAUCCUCCUAAUAUAAGUGGGUGUCCUGGUGACUAUUUCUGAUAUUUUUUUGACAAGGGAGGAAAUCAGACAAGGUAGUGUGGUCAGGAAAAGAAUCAUAAAUUUUCCUUUCUUUUUACAACAACUUUGGCCC
RNAcentral lists this long non-coding RNA (5821 nucleotides) under Homo sapiens (human). Its description in RNAcentral is "non-protein coding lnc-IFNK-7:1". The record is from RNAcentral. Lineage: Eukaryota; Metazoa; Chordata; Mammalia; Primates; Hominidae.